RNAcentral lists this ribosomal RNA (468 nucleotides) under uncultured bacterium. Its description in RNAcentral is "partial 16S ribosomal RNA". It matches the Rfam family "Bacterial small subunit ribosomal RNA", at positions 28 to 507 of the family's 1533-position model. The record is from RNAcentral.
GACGAACGCUGGCGGCGUGCUUAACACAUGCACGUCAAACGGACAGGCCCCGCUUUUGUGGCGUGCUCGCGUGGCGAUCGGGUGCCUAACCCGUGAGUAACCUGCCCUUGACUCGGGGACCGCUUCAGGACACUGGCUCUUAUACCGGAUUGGAGCCCCUGCCGCGUGGAGGGGGUUGGAACGUUUGGGCGGUUGGGGAUGGACUCGCGGCUUUUCAGCUUUGUGGUGGGGUAGUGGCUCCCCCAGGCUUGGAAGGGGAGCCGGCCUGAGGGGGUGACCGGCCACAUUGGGACUGAGAGACGGCCCAGACUCCUACGGGAGGCAGCAGUGGGGAAUAUUGCACAAUGGGCGGAGGCCUGAUGCAGCAACGCCGCGGGCGGGAUGACGGCCUUCGGGUUGUAAACCGCUUUCGCCUGUUACGAAGCGUGUGUGACGGUAAUGGGUAAAGAAGCACCGGCUAACUACGUG